This 1348-nucleotide long non-coding RNA is filed under the name Strigops habroptila (Kakapo). Its description in RNAcentral is "lncRNA (ENSSHBG00005014555.1)". Lineage: Eukaryota; Metazoa; Chordata; Aves; Psittaciformes; Psittacidae. The record is from RNAcentral.
AUGGCACAAGUGCUAUCCCAGCUCUCGCUGCAGACGGACGCGAGUUUAUGCGGGCGGAGAGAAACCCAAGGCGACAUGAAAAGGCUGAGCCCCCUCCGCAAGUGGACUUGGCAAUCCUGCCGGAAUGACCUUCUCGUUUCACGUCUAGGAAGGAGCCUUCCUCCCCAUCCCGCAGGGCUUGGAGUUAGCAGAGAGGGAGGAAGAGGGAGAAAGGAGAAUCUUGCACAUGGUAGAGUCACGAAUCCGAGUUCUUGGCCGAAAAAAACGCUGGUUUGUGGCACGAUCCUCCGCAGGACUGACAUCGCAAAGGAGAAAAGGAACCGAACCCCAACCCCAUCGGCGGUUUUCCUAUGGCUGGAUGCACCUCUUCCAAAACGGCUCGGACUGAAAGCGUGGAGAAAAGGGGAAAUUUGGUUCUUCUAUAGAAUCUAUUUAGCCAAUUUCUCCACUUGUAAUACACUCUCCCUUGUAAAAAUGAGCCUGCGGGGACUGGGUGCUGUUGGAAACCUACUAAACAAAUAUUUUGUAGUUGCAGUUGUUUCUAUAUUCGCGACACAUUCUCAAAAAUAUAAAAAAGACGCCGAUUUAAAUAGAUAACAAAGGGCAAUAAUUAUCUUUGAAAGAAGGAGGAGUGGGAGCUUACAGAUUUUGGAAACCAUUAAAUAUAAAUCAAAACUUCAUAUUGGAAAAGAAAGACCCCAAACCAAACCCAGCCAAACCCCUGCUAUAAAACCACGAGGGAGGAAGAGCAGGGGCACAUUUCCGAGAGCUCCGAGCCCCGGCGGGUGUUUGCCCCUUUCUUUCCAGCCUCCUCCAGCCCCGGCGCUCCUCCUGCCCGGGACUGACCCGGGACAACGCUCAGGACCCCGCACUUCUCCGGGCUCCAACCGCGGGUGGUGAAAUUGGGGUGUUUUCCCCCAUUUCACCUCCUUUCUGCCUCCCAUCUAUUCCAACAGGUCCCCACUCGAGCUCGCAACGGGCCUUCGUCUAAUUAUAAAUGAACCCUUCCUCCUCCAGGGUCGGAUCCUGCACUGCAGUCCCUCGGGGAGGGGGAGACUUUGCCCUUCAGCCUCCCUCCUUCUCUUCCCCCGGGAACCAAAGUCCAGACCCGCUUUGCGCACUGACCCAAAGAGUAAUCCGUGGGUGCUUCCAGCAAGCCGGGAGACAAAACCAGCGUGUGCCCGAGAGGGACCGGCCGUGACCGUCCCUCCCCGGCCGCCGAGGCCGAGGAACCGGGGUCCCCUCCUUGCACUUGGUCCUUUAUCGUUACUGUCUUCCCAUCACCGGGAUCCGUCGGGGAACUGGGGAGGGGGAACGGGAAGGGUAAAUUGAAGCAGGCCUUUUAAAG